Molecule: ribosomal RNA, 497 nt
Filed under: uncultured bacterium
Lineage: Bacteria
Description: partial 16S ribosomal RNA
Rfam family: Bacterial small subunit ribosomal RNA
Source: RNAcentral
GAUGAACGCUGGCGGCGUGCCUAAUACAUGCAAGUCGAGCGAACAGACGAGGAGCUUGCUCCUCUGACGUUAGCGGCGGACGGGUGAGUAACACGUGGAUAACCUACCUAUAAGACUGGGAUAACUUCGGGAAACCGGAGCUAAUACCGGAUAAUAUAUUGAACCGCAUGGUUCAAUAGUGAAAGACGGUUUUGCUGUCACUUAUAGAUGGAUCCGCGCCGCAUUAGCUAGUUGGUAAGGUAACGGCUUACCAAGGCAACGAUGCGUAGCCGACCUGAGAGGGUGAUCGGCCACACUGGAACUGAGCCACGGUCCAGACUCCUACGGGAGGCAGCAGUAGGGAAUCUUCCGCAAUGGGCGAAAGCCUGACGGAGCAACGCCGCGUGAGUGAUGAAGGUCUUCGGAUUGUAAAACUCUGUUAUUAGGGAAGAACAAAUGUGUAAGUAACUAUGCACGUCUUGACGGUACCUAAUCAGAAAGCCACGGCUAACUACGUG